AACGAACGCUGGCGGCAGGCCUAACACAUGCAAGUCGAGCGAGACCUUCGGGUCUAGCGGCGGACGGGUGAGUAACGCGUGGGAACGUGCCCUUUGCUACGGAAUAGCCCCGGGAAACUGGGAGUAAUACCGUAUGUGCCCUUCGGGGGAAAGAUUUAUCGGCAAAGGAUGGGCCCGCGUUGGAUUAGGUAGUUGGUGGGGUAAUGGCCUACCAAGCCGACGAUCCAUAGCUGGUUUGAGAGGAUGUGCAGCCACACUGGGACUGAGACACGGCCCAGACUCCUACGGGAGGCAGCAGUGGGGAAUCUUAGACAAUGGGGGAAACCCUGAUCUAGCCAUGCCGCGUGAGCGAUGAAGGCCUUAGGGUUGUAAAGCUCUUUCAGGUGGGAAGAUAAUGACGGUACCACCAGAAGAAGCCCCGGCUAACUCCGUGCCAGCAGCCGCAGUAA
This 449-nucleotide ribosomal RNA is filed under the name uncultured bacterium. RNAcentral describes it as "partial 16S ribosomal RNA". It matches the Rfam family "Bacterial small subunit ribosomal RNA", at positions 29 to 523 of the family's 1533-position model. The record is from RNAcentral.